RNAcentral lists this ribosomal RNA (264 nucleotides) under uncultured bacterium. Its description in RNAcentral is "partial 16S ribosomal RNA". It matches the Rfam family "Bacterial small subunit ribosomal RNA", at positions 90 to 354 of the family's 1533-position model. The record is from RNAcentral.
UCUUAGUGGCGGACGGGUGAGUAACGCGUGGGUAACCUGCCUUACACAGGGGGAUAACACCUGGAAACAGGUGCUAAUACCGCAUAAGCGCACAGGGCCGCAUGGCCCGGUGUGAAAAACUCCGGUGGUGUAAGAUGGACCCGCGUCUGAUUAGCUUGUUGGCGGGGUAGGGGCCCACCAAGGCGACGAUCAGUAGCCGGCCUGAGAGGGUGGACGGCCACAUUGGGACUGAGACACGGCCCAAACUCCUACGGAAGGCAGCAG